CCUACGGGUGGCAGCAGUGGGGAAUAUUGGGCAAUGGGCGCAAGCCUGACGCAGCAACGCCGCGUGAAGGAAGAAGGCUUUCGGGUUGUAAACUUCUUUUGGCAGGGAAGAGUGGAAGACGGUACCUGUCGAAUAAGCCACGGCUAACUACGUGCAAGCAUCCGCGGUAAUACGUAGGGUGCAGGCGUUGUCCGGCUUUACUGGGUGUAAAGGGCGUGUAGCCGGGUUGACAAGUCAGAUGUGAAAUCCUUGGGCUUAACCGCAGAACUGCAUUUGAAACUGUUGAUCUUGAGUACUGGAGAGGCAGACGGAAUUCCUAGUGUAGCGGUGAAAUGCGUAGAGAUUAGGAGGAACACCAGUGGCGAAGGCGGUCUGCUGGACAGCAACUGACGGUGAGGUGCGAAAGCGUGGGGAGCAAACAGGAUUAGAUACCCGAGUAGUC
Molecule: ribosomal RNA, 442 nt
Filed under: uncultured bacterium
Lineage: Bacteria
Description: partial 16S ribosomal RNA
Rfam family: Bacterial small subunit ribosomal RNA
Source: RNAcentral